UGUGACCAUACCAAACUGUUGCCUCGGCGGGGUCACGCCCCGGGUGCGUCGCAGCCCCGGAACCAGGCGCCCGCCGGAGGGACCAACCAAACUCUUUCUGUAGUCCCCUCGCGGACGUUAUUUCUUACAGCUCUGAGCAAAAAUUCAAAAUGAAUCAAAACUUUCAACAACGGAUCUCUUGGUUCUGGCAUCGAUGAAGAACGCAGCGAAAUGCGAUAAGUAAUGUGAAUUGCAGAAUUCAGUGAAUCAUCGAAUCUUUGAACGCACAUUGCGCCCGCCAGUAUUCUGGCGGGCAUGCCUGUCCGAGCGUCAUUUCAACCCUCGAACCCCUCCGGGGGGUCGGCGUUGGGGAUCGGGAACCCCUAAGACGGGAUCCCGGCCCCGAAAUACAGUGGCGGUCUCGCCGCAGCCUCUCCUGCGCAGUAGUUUGCACAACUCGCACCGGGAGCGCGGCGCGUCCACGUCCGUAAAACACCCAACUUCUGAAAUGUUGACCUCGGAUCAGGUAGGAAUACCCGCUGAACUUAAGCAUAUCAAA
Molecule: unclassified non-coding RNA, 538 nt
Filed under: Trichoderma gamsii
Lineage: Eukaryota; Fungi; Ascomycota; Sordariomycetes; Hypocreales; Hypocreaceae
Description: sequence contains ITS1, 5.8S rRNA gene and ITS2
Rfam family: 5.8S ribosomal RNA (bases 159-312)
Source: RNAcentral